CAUGAGAUCAAAGUUCAAAAAACUUUCGAGAGAAAAACAAAAGAAAGAAAGUGGGCGCAGGGUUUUCUGAGAGUACCCUAGGGUUUCUACCUAGGGUUCGGGAAGUUAGAAGGUGAGCUAUGAGUGUCGUGAGCCCACCAAACUUUAGGGAGAGCUUCGUCAACCUCUCUACUCUCUUUGCUGAUGAUCCAGAGUAUUUGAGGAAUCAAUAGACAC
RNAcentral lists this long non-coding RNA (216 nucleotides) under Elaeis guineensis (African oil palm). RNAcentral describes it as "long non-coding RNA (EGUI_LNC081686)". The record is from RNAcentral. Lineage: Eukaryota; Viridiplantae; Streptophyta; Magnoliopsida; Arecales; Arecaceae.